Molecule: ribosomal RNA, 448 nt
Filed under: uncultured bacterium
Lineage: Bacteria
Description: bacterial SSU rRNA
Rfam family: Bacterial small subunit ribosomal RNA
Source: RNAcentral
AGGGGAGCGAACGGGAUUAGAAACCCCCGGUAGUCCUAGCCCGUAAACGAUGGAUGCUGGGUGUGGGGGGUAUAAACUCCCCUCCCGUGCGGAAGCUAACGUGUUAAGCAUCCCGCCUGGGGACUACGGCCGCAAGGCUAAAACUCAAACGAAUUGACGGGGGCCCGCACAAGCAGCGGAGCGUGUGGUUUAAUUCGAUGUUACACGAAGAACCUUACCUGGGUUUGACAUGCAGGUGGUAGUGAAGCGAAAGCCGAACGACCCUUCGGGGAGCCUACACAGGUGCUGCAUGGCUGUCGUCAGCUCGUGCCGUGAGGUGUCGGGUUAAGUCCCGUAACGAGCGCAACCCUUGCCCCUAGUUAUACGUGUCUAGGGGGACUGCCCGGGACAACUGGGAGGAAGGUGGGGAUGACGUCAAGUCAGCAUGGCCUUUAUGUCCAGGGCUACA